CACGACUACGAGUUUGAUCCUGGCUCAGGAUGAACGCUAGCGGCAGGCCUAAUACAUGCAAGUCGAACGGAUAUAUGUUUUUCGGAAUAUAUAUUAGUGGCGCACGGGUGAGUAACACGUACAUAACUUGCCCUCAAGCGGGGGAUAGCCUUGGGAAACUGAGAGUAAUACCCCAUAGAAUUAUUGGACGGCAUCGUUUGAUAAUUAAAACUACGGUGCUUGGGGAUAGAUGUGCGUCUGAUUAGCUAGUUGGUGAGGUAACUGCUCACCAAGGCGACGAUCAGUAGGGGGCGUGAGAGCGUGGCCCCCCACACGGGUACUGAGACACGGACCCGACUCCUACGGGAGGCAGCAGUAAGGAAUAUUGGUCAAUGGAGGGAACUCUGAACCAGCCAUGCCGCGUGAAGGAUGACGGCCCUCUGGGUUGUAAACUUCUUUUGGAUGGGGCGAAAAAACGGGAUUUAUCCUGGACUGACGGUACCAUCAGAAUAAGCACCGGCUAACUCCGUG
RNAcentral lists this ribosomal RNA (510 nucleotides) under uncultured bacterium. RNAcentral's name for it is "bacterial SSU rRNA". It matches the Rfam family "Bacterial small subunit ribosomal RNA", at positions 1 to 507 of the family's 1533-position model. The record is from RNAcentral.